UGUUAGUUAAAGCUGUUUGGUGCUUGAGC
RNAcentral lists this non-coding RNA (29 nucleotides) under Rattus norvegicus (Norway rat). The record is from RNAcentral. Lineage: Eukaryota; Metazoa; Chordata; Mammalia; Rodentia; Muridae.